GAUGAACGCUGGCGGCGUGCCUAACACAUGCAAGUCGAGCGAACAGACGAGGAGCUUUCUUCUCGGACGUUAGCGGUGGACGGGUGAGCAACACGUUGAUAACCUAGCUAUUAGACUGGGAUAACUACGGGAAACCGGAGCUGAUACGGGAUAAUAUAUUGUACCGCAUGGUAUAAUCGUGAAAGACGGUUAUGAAGUAUCUAAUAGAUGGAUCCGCGCCGCAUUGGCAAGUUGGUGAGGUAACAGCUUACACAGGCAACGAUGCGUAGCCGACCUGAGAGGCUGAUCCGCCACACUGGAACGACGACACGGGCCAGAAUCCUACGGGAGACAGCCGUACGGAAUCUUCCGGAAAGGGCGAAGUGGUGACGGAGCAACGCCGGGAGAAUGAUAAAGGUCUUCAGCUCGUAAGACUCUGAUAUUAGGGAAGAACAAAUGUGUAAGUAAAUAUGCAGGUAUUGACAGUACCUUACCAGAAAGCCACGGCUAACUACGUG
RNAcentral lists this ribosomal RNA (497 nucleotides) under uncultured bacterium. RNAcentral describes it as "partial 16S ribosomal RNA". It matches the Rfam family "Bacterial small subunit ribosomal RNA", at positions 28 to 507 of the family's 1533-position model. The record is from RNAcentral.